GAUCAGCCACACUGGAACUGAGACACGGUCCAGACUCCUACGGGAGGCAGCAGUGGGGAAUAUUGCACAAUGGAGGAAACUCUGAUGCAGCAACGCCGCGUGGAGGAUGACGCAUUUCGGUGUGUAAACUCCUUUUAUAUGGGAAGAUAAUGACGGUACCAUAUGAAUAAGCACCGGCUAACUCCGUGCCAGCAGCCGCGGUAAUACGGAGGGUGCAAGCGUUACUCGGAAUCACUGGGCGUAAAGCGCGCGCAGGCGGCCUUUUAAGUUGGAUGUGAAAGCUUACGGCUCAACCGUAGAACUGCAUCCAAAACUAUCAGGCUAGAGUGUGGGAGAGGAAGAUGGAAUUAGUUGUGUAGGGGUAAAAUCCGUAGAGAUAACUAGGAAUACCAAAAGCGAAGGCAAUCUUCUGGAACAUUACUGACGCUGAGGCGCGAAAGCGUGGGGAGCAAACAGGAUUAGAUACCCUGGUAGUCCACGCCCUAAACGAUGAAUGUUAGUCGUCGGGUAGCUAGUCUAUUCGGUGAUGCAGCUGACGCAUUAAACUUUCCGCCUGGGGAGUACGGUCGCAAGAUUAAAACUCAAAGGAAUAGACGGGGACCCGCACAAGUGGUGGAGCAUGUGGUUUAAUUCGAAAAUACGCGAAGAACCUUACCUAGCCUUGACAUAUAUUAGAACACCCUAGAGAUAGAGUGGUGUCUUCGGGAGCUUUUAUACAGGUGCUGCACGGCUGUCGUCAGCUCGUGUCGUGAGAUGUUGGGUUAAGUCCCGCAACGAGCGCAACCCUCGUCACUAGUUACUAACGGUUCGGCCGAGGACUCUAGUGAGACUGCCUUCGUAAGGAGGAGGAAGGUGAGGACGACGUCAAGUCAUCAUGGACCUUACGGCUAGGGCAACACACGUGCUACAAUGGCCAGGACAGUGAGACGCGAUACCGCGAGGUGGAGCAAAUCUAUAAACCUGGUCUCAGUUCGGAUUGUAGUCUGCAACUCGACUACAUGAAGCUGGAAUCACUAGUAAUCGUAGAUCAGCUAUGCUACGGUGAAUACGUUCCCGGGUCUUGUACUCACCGCCCGUCACACCAUGGGAGUUGAUUUCACCCGAAGCGGGGAAGCUAAACUGGCUACCCUCCACGGUGGAAUCAGCGACUGGGGUGAAGUCGUAACAAGGUAACCGUAGGAGAACCUGCGGUUG
Molecule: ribosomal RNA, 1194 nt
Filed under: metagenome
Description: bacterial SSU rRNA
Rfam family: Bacterial small subunit ribosomal RNA
Source: RNAcentral